AAUCAUUCUGUGCAAUGAUCCUGCUUGGCUUUGCAGCAUCUUGAUAGUAUUUUGAACCAUACAUUGUAUACACAGACAUCCAGAUAGCUGCUGCCUUACGGAGGAUGAGUCCAAGCUCCCAGGCAUCAAGAUGACAUCCAGAUGCCAAAUCUCCAAUAAUCAAUAUUGCAUCCAGAUUGGGUGCAUUGCCAGGAGAAAGUCUCACAUAUCAGCUCUGCAGUCAAGCCUAGCCAUAGCUUUGUGACGGUGAGCCAGGGACUCGUCUCCAUAUACAAUUUGCAACAUUAAUGAUUUAUGAUCUACCGUGGAAGAUCAUUAUCGGGUGACUACAAACAUGCUGUGUUUCCCUCUUGGGUGUGUUCGGAGUGCAGUUCUAGGAACAUAAAGUUAAGGAGUACCACAGUGGGUGAGCCCAAACCAGUCUGAGCAGCCUUGUUUGAGUCUGCAGAUGCACAUGUAUUCCUGAUGCUGCUUCUCCCUUUUGCCUGUUGCCCCAGUCUUGUGAAUAAGGUCUUGCUGUACCAGUCUUACAUUUUGUCUUUUGACAGUGUUUUUGUUUUA
This is a long non-coding RNA of Mauremys reevesii (Reeves's turtle), 561 nucleotides long. RefSeq lists it as uncharacterized. The transcript has 3 exons. The record is from RefSeq and is a predicted model, not a curated record. NCBI's taxonomy places the organism in Eukaryota, Metazoa, Chordata, Testudines, Geoemydidae.